Non-coding RNA from Myotis brandtii (Brandt's bat), 76 nucleotides. The record is from Rfam. NCBI's taxonomy places the organism in Eukaryota, Metazoa, Chordata, Mammalia, Chiroptera, Vespertilionidae.
GGCAGUUCUCAGGUGAUGCACCCCGGAAUUGGGCUCCCUCCUCUCUGGUUCUGGGGUGCGUCACCCGAGAACCGCC